GGGAGGAGUCAGGUUAAAGAUGAAGGGGAGGAGACAGGUUAAAGAUGAAGGGGAGGAGACGGGUUAAAGAUGAAGGGGAGGAGACAGGUUAAAGAUGAAGGGGAGGAGACAGGUUAAAGAUGAAGGGGAGGAGACAGGUUAAAGAAGGAUUUUAAGCUUUGAGACAAUUGAGAUGUGGAUUAUGUCUGUGUGCCAUUCAGAGGGUGAACGGACAAGACAACAUAUAUAAGUGACGUUGAACGAGUUCUGGUAGUAGGGGCCUGUUUGAGUGUGUCAAGAACUGCAAUGCUGCUGUUUUUUUAAAUACCCUCAACAGUUUCCUGUGUGUAUCAAGAAUGGUCUACCACCCCAAAGGACAUCCAGCCAACUUGACACAACUGUGGGAAGCAUUGGAGUCAACAUGGACCAUGCAUCCCC
Oncorhynchus tshawytscha (Chinook salmon) is the source of this 417-nucleotide long non-coding RNA. The record is from Ensembl. NCBI's taxonomy places the organism in Eukaryota, Metazoa, Chordata, Actinopteri, Salmoniformes, Salmonidae.